UACAUUAACUUUUGGGUUUAAUUUCAACUUCUCUUGAUCAAAUGCUUGUGCCAACUUUAUAAACAGGGUCAACAUGAAAAAAAUCAAGAAUUCAAGAUCAAAAUACCACAAAGUUUGAGCAGCAUCUGCUGGUCCACACACAAUAAAGCCCCAAAGGUUUUUGUUUCCUUGCAGUCCAAUCCAAUUAUACCCAAGACCCAAUUUCUUCACAUCGCCCUUUCAAACCUUUUCUUCUCUUAUCCCUUCUCUUCCUUUCCCCAACAAAUAAUUUCUUCAAAACCUUAAAAGCCUCAGCCUUUUUUUUCACUGCUCAAGUGCCACCAAGCGACUACGUAAAUGGAGCUCACUUGUUUGCAUAACAAAUUCAAUUUGUCUCCUUUACUUCACCUUUCACUUCCAUUCUCCAAGAACCCUAAUCCCAGGAUAGUUUAUAGAAAAAGGAACAAUCUUUGUCUGGCUUCAGCUUCUGAUACCCUUGUGGCUGGUUCAAAGAAGGAACUUUGCAGCAAGAAAGAUGAUGAAUUUGGGGACUUGAGAUCUUGGAUGCAAAAAAAGGGUUUGCCUCAUUGUAGAGUUGUGCUCAAAGAUAGGCCUUCACAUGAUGAGAAGCAUAGGCCUAUACAUUAUGUCGCUGCCAGUGAGGAUCUUCAGGCAGGUGACGUGGCAUUUUCGGUGCCGAAUUCUUUGGUUGUGACGCUUGAGAGAGUGCUGGGAAAUGAGACUGUUGCGGAACUUUUGACAACAAAUAAAUUGUCAGAACUGGCAUGCCUAGCUUUAUACUUAAUGUAUGAGAAGAAACAAGGAAAGAAAUCAUUCUGGUAUCCGUAUAUCGGAGAGCUUGAUCGUCAACGAGGAAGAAGCCAACUAGCUGUGGAAUCUCCACUUCUAUGGUCAGAAGAUGAAUUGGCUUACCUAACAGGUAGCCCCACUAAGGCUGAAGUUCUUGAAAGGGCUGAAGGAAUAAAAAGAGAGUAUAAUGAACUUGACACCGUCUGGUUUAUGGCUGGGUCUCUCUUUCAGCAAUAUCCCUAUGAUAUACCUACUGAGGCCUUUCCAUUUGAGAUUUUCAAACAAGCCUUUGUUGCUGUUCAGUCUUGUGUAGUACAUUUACAGAAAGUCCCUUUGGCUCGGAGAUUUGCAUUGGUUCCUCUUGGACCUCCAUUGCUAGCUUACAGGAGCAAUUGCAAGGCAAUGUUAAGCGCUGUUGAUGGUGCUGUUGAACUAGUGGUUGAUCGCCCAUAUAAGGCUGGGGAAUCUAUUGUUGUCUGGUGUGGACCACAGCCUAAUUCGAAACUGCUUAUUAACUAUGGUUUUGUUGAUGAUGAUAAUUCUUAUGAUCGGCUGGUUGUUGAGGCAGCUUUGAAUACUGAGGAUCCUCAAUAUCAGGACAAGAGAAUGGUUGUUCAAAGAAAUGGAAAACUAUCAGUACAAGUUUUUCAUGUUUAUGCCGGGAAGGAAAAAGAAGCUGUUAUGGAUAUGCUUCCAUAUUUGCGAUUGAGUUAUGUUUCAGAUCCUUCGGAGAUGCUAUCUGUUCUUUCUUCUCAAGGUCCAGUCUGCCCGGUGAGCCCCUGUAUGGAACGAGCAGUGCUAGACCAGCUUGCUGAUUAUUUCAAGAGAUGCCUGGCUGGCUACCCUACUACUCUGAAUGAAGAUGAGUCUUUGUUAUCAGAUCCAAACUUGAAUCCCAGGAGACGAGUUGCCACUCAACUUGUUAGGUUGGAAAAGAAAAUUCUCUAUGCAUGUUUGCAGGCAACAAUUGAUUUGAUUGACCAGUUACCUGAUCACACUGUGUCUCCAUGCCCUGCGCCUUAUGCCCCUUUAUUGAAAUGAAAGUUUGGAUGAACUUUGUUCAGAGUUACCACUCUCCGUUGUAACUUGGCAAAAUCGUAAAAGUUCUUUGCAGUACUUGGGUAACGUCCCUGUCUAUGGGAGAGUAUAUACCAGGAAGAUUUAUGAAGCGGCCACUCCUUCAGACCGGUAUGGAAUGUGGGAAGCUUGUUGCUGGAUCUAUUAAGGCUUUAAGAGAGAGAAUCAGAAUCAUACUUGUUCUUUUCAUUGGAUGACAUGACGUGCCUUUAGCAUAUUGAUUUUUCAACAUACAUUCACUCUUCCUGUUCUUCUUCACAUUCUUCUUCCUGGCACUUUUUCUUUAAUAACCGUCAAGCUCUAGUGUUACAGGUCCUUGUUGGAUCAUCAUCUAGUAGAGAACAAAAAGAAUAUCAGAAUCUCACCUAACAGAUGCAUGGAUAAUUUUGCCAUUCCUUGUAAAUGCAGACGUGGAUGAUCGUUUUUCAAUUAAACCUUGUUGAAUUUCUCAGAGUUCCAACUCUGCAUUACA
Molecule: non-coding RNA, 2338 nt
Organism: Durio zibethinus
Lineage: Eukaryota; Viridiplantae; Streptophyta; Magnoliopsida; Malvales; Malvaceae
Source: RefSeq, a predicted model, not a curated record